AAGUGCGAAGCUCGUCUCAAGAUGAGAUUUCCCUUAAGGGUCGUUGUAGACUACGACGUUGAUAGGCUGCAGGUGUAAAGGUGGCAACAUCAAAGCCGAGCAGUACUAAUUACCCGUGAGCUUUCUG
This 127-nucleotide ribosomal RNA is filed under the name Bacteroidales bacterium. RNAcentral's name for it is "partial 23S ribosomal RNA". It matches the Rfam family "Bacterial large subunit ribosomal RNA", at positions 2783 to 2925 of the family's 2925-position model. Lineage: Bacteria; Pseudomonadati; Bacteroidota; Bacteroidia; Bacteroidales. The record is from RNAcentral.